Oryza meridionalis is the source of this 114-nucleotide non-coding RNA. NCBI's taxonomy places the organism in Eukaryota, Viridiplantae, Streptophyta, Magnoliopsida, Poales, Poaceae. The record is from Rfam.
AUGUCCCUAAGCGUUCCUUCCAAGCACUUCACACAGAGCUUUUAUUUCUCUCACAUUGAUUGAGAACUUAAUUAGAAGCUUUUGUGAAGUGUUUGGGGGAACUCUUGGUGUCAC